AGCACAACGAAGGAAAAAAUGGAACUGCAGGCACGGCUGGAUAGAGUUCGACAGCUGUCUGAACAGCUGCUGAAGAAUGCCGACAGCAGAUCUCCUGACUCCACCGAUGGACCCGUCCACCAGCCAAACGACCCCGCCACACCCGUGCCACGCCCGGACUCAGGGUGUACUUGCCAGAUGGUCCGCCGU
Molecule: long non-coding RNA, 189 nt
Organism: Branchiostoma floridae (Florida lancelet)
Lineage: Eukaryota; Metazoa; Chordata; Leptocardii; Amphioxiformes; Branchiostomatidae
Exons: 3
Source: RefSeq, a predicted model, not a curated record